UGAUUGUAGCCUUUUUGAGUAGA
This 23-nucleotide microRNA is filed under the name Pan troglodytes (chimpanzee). RNAcentral describes it as "ptr-miR-508". Its record names the gene ptr-miR-508. Lineage: Eukaryota; Metazoa; Chordata; Mammalia; Primates; Hominidae. The record is from miRBase by way of RNAcentral. RNAcentral also lists the same sequence under 2 other names.